Rattus norvegicus (Norway rat) is the source of this 135-nucleotide small nucleolar RNA. Ensembl annotates it as small nucleolar RNA SNORA70. The record is from Ensembl. NCBI's taxonomy places the organism in Eukaryota, Metazoa, Chordata, Mammalia, Rodentia, Muridae.
CUGUAACCAAUUUAAGACGACCAGUUCCUUUCUUCAUGGGAACCUGGUGUACGCUGGCUGCAAACAGCAGUUUUCAUGAUAGAACCAUCAGCCUGCUGCCCUUAUGAGUUGCCCUACGGGACCUUGGAGACAACU